AGUGAACGCUGGCGGUAGGCCUAACACAUGCAAGUCGAACGGCAGCACAGUAAGAUCUUGCUCUUACGGGUGGCGAGUGGCGGACGGGUGAGGAAUACAUCGGAAUCUACUUUUUCGUGGGGGAUAACGUAGGGAAACUUACGCUAAUACCGCAUACGACCUACGGGUGAAAGCAGUGGAUCUUCGGACCUUGCGCGAUUGAAUGAGCCGAUGUCGGAUUAGCUAGUUGGCGGGGUAAAGGCCCACCAAGGCGACGAUCCGUAGCUGGUCUGAGAGGAUGAUCAGCCACACUGGAACUGAGACACGGUCCAGACUCCUACGGGAGGCAGCAGUGGGGAAUAUUGGACAAUGGGCGAAAGCCUGAUCCAGCCAUACCGCGUGGGUGAAGAAGGCCUUCGGGUUGUAAAGCCCUUUUGUUGGGAAAGAAAAGCAGCAGGUUAAUACCCCGAUGUUCUGACGGUACCCAAAGAAUAAGCACCGGCUAACUUCGCG
Molecule: ribosomal RNA, 492 nt
Filed under: uncultured bacterium
Lineage: Bacteria
Description: partial 16S ribosomal RNA
Rfam family: Bacterial small subunit ribosomal RNA
Source: RNAcentral